GAGAGGGAGAGAGAGAGAACCAGACAGAAGCAGAGGGUAAAAGAUGCAUUUUCCUCACUUUUUUUCCAAAUGGAGAGCUACUGGUCCUUUCCUUUGUGGAAGACCUUUUUCAGAAAAUCCCCCUCUAGCCGGCAAGCUGCCUUUUCCUUCACUGUUUUCCUUUCUGUUUCAGAGUAAAAGAUUCUUCUCUCCUCUCUAAAGAAGACUAGGGAUUGAUGCCUAGGUCUCUCCCUUGGCUUCCAAGAGUAGCAAGGUGAUCAAAGAGGAAGGUGACUGGAAAAAGGAGUAGAAGGUGUAUAUUUUUAAAAAGAGUAAAAGAUAAUUGUAUGUAAUGUAGAUUCAUUUGGGAACUGCAGAACAUUGGGACUUCUAAGCAAAUCCGUUUCUCUAAAUAGAGGAAAAUCUUAGUGGUAUAGACAGCUAAAGCAAAGAACAGAACUAGGAAGUAAGCUGAUGAGUUCAUGCCCCAUAGACAGUGCUGGGUGUGGAAGUCCAUCUAGGACUAGGUCUUUUCUGUAGCCAGGUAAUCGCUUCUCUUCAAGUUGACUCCUUGGUCAUGGCCUUGGCCAUCCAUCUGUUGACUGUAUUUUUAGGUUGCUGAACUUUCUUUUUCUCCCUGAAAGUUGUUUGUGAGGGCAGGAACUAGAUCCAGUGAUUGAAAGCCCCCUUACAAAAUCUCUCCUAAAGCAAAUUUCUGGAGCAUGCUUUCUGCCCACCCUUAUCUUUUGCAAUAGCACCACUCUGUGGUUGAAACACUGAACAGAAACAAAAUGGAAAUGUUGGAAUGAAUUAUGCCCUUACCUUGUGAGAAAUAGUAUUGAUCUACUGGAUGUUUCAGUUAAAUGGAUUGUGUGUUGCAGGGGCUGCUCAGCAUAUGACAAGGGAGGGGGUCUUGUGCAGUAGGGGCAUGCAGUUAAUUCGUUAUGACACAGUGACCCAGGAAAUGAGAGAACUGGGCCGAAUGGCCUCCAAGGACCCUUCCCUCUGUGACCGCAUGUGGCAAGGCAAGCUUGGUUCUUUUCCCCAGCACCAUACAGCUAGCCUUGAAUAUUUGUCCUCUCCCAUUGUGUGUGGGUUUUUUUCCUGCCUUAGAUUGCUAAACUAUACUCCACACCUUAGCCUAUCCUAAAGUAUCUGCAAGUUGCCUCUUCUGCUGCUGGAGGGCACUGUGGAGAGGUUUGCAGAAUGCUUGCACCUACUUUCUCUUGCUCCACCCUGUCCAUCCAUCCCCACCCCCACUCACUCAGACAGCUGCUUGAGCUCCUGGAGCCCGAAAGUCUAUGUUUCUGAAACAAUUAAAGUGCCUGCAAAAGGUGUUUGCAUAGGGAUUGCGAAUUUAAGGGCCCAGUAAGGCUGUGUGUUACCUUGGCUCCUGGCACUCAAAAGAUUCCUGGCUGCCCACCCAUUACUACACACUUGUAACUGUAGCAUUAUUAGCCAACAGUCAUGUGAGCCCAUGGUGCCAAUUAGCGACUCCGGCCAAAUAUCCUGAAGAGUGGUGGGAGCCAUUAUUCUUUUUUUUUUCAAAAUGGGUACAGAUGUCUGUAGAAACUGAGUGGCUUUAUGUUUAUUCAGCGAACCCAGGUCUUCCCUAAAAUGUCUAUCAUCUUGAGGAAGUGCAGCUUUGAUGCUAUCAACCUUGAGCUCUCAACAGAGUAGGGAGACAGAUCUAAUUCUAUCAGCCUCUGUGUCCCCCCACCCCCUACAUUUAAUAGUUAAGGAUGCUAAGGCUCUGGCUUCUCCAUAAAUUUCCCCAGGGAAAUAAACGAACAAACAAGCAAACAAAAAACCAAACAUAGUAACAGAUCAGGAAGUAGAACUCAUUAAAAGAGUGGGUCUUGGAAUUGUACAAACCUAGAUUCCAUGCUCCCUUCUUCACUGGUAGCUGUGUGUCUUUGGUAGGUUCCUGAACUUCUCAGAAACUGUCUGUAAUUGGCAGAAACAAUGCCAACCUCAUAGGAGUAUUAUGGGGGCCACAUGAACUAAUUGAUUUAAAAUGCUGGGCACAGUCCAGCACAGUGAAGGCACCAACUCCCAAUCUGAUAGCCUUUCUACCGGAAACACCGCCAACCACACGGGUGGGGGAUCUUAGCCUUUAGAAAAAGCUCCGGAAUGUCCUCUUUGUUACUUGUAAGCUGUCUUGAAACAUUUCAUUAAUGUAGCUUUAUGGUUAUAUAUUUUUCCCUUGGACAAAGACAGAAAGAACAUAGCAGAAUGAAGUAGUGGACAUAUUUGGAAUUUAGUUUCCUAAUGCGGGCCUCAGAGAGCAUGAAAGACGUAGUUGAAGGAUUUCAGAAUCUCAUCUUGUUUGUUCUUUGUCUCUAAGGCAGAACUGCCUCAUCAUGUAAAAGGAAAUUCCACCAUGUCCUUCAACUUGUAACAGAUUGCCUAGUAUAUUAUUGGUUUGUUGUUAUUGCUAAUUAUGUUCUAGGGCUUAGAUUGAACAAUAUGAUGAAUUGCAUUGAAUAACAAUGGAUCAACUCAUUUUGUGAAAUAGCAUACAUAUUCAUAAUUAUGUUUCAAGAAAUUACCCAUAAUGAUAGAGGGAAGGUAUGUAUUCCUACCACACAGGUGGAUCUAGAAAUCAUAAUAAAGUCUCCUAUUUCACCAGUCAUGACAUGAAUUCCUAACCACCCUAUAAAUUAACUUUAUGCUGCACCAAACUCCACUCAUAUAAAAAAUGACAUUAAGGUUUCCUAGGUAACUAAUGCACUUCCAAAGGGAAUAGGCCUCAGGAGACAAAGAGGGCAGGGAAAAGGGUGGGGGGGUGGGGAAGUGAAGAAAAAGAAAAAAAAGAACAUUAGAUUAGACUCAUGUGACAUAAACAAAAUAUUUCAUGGGGAAGGACUCAUAAAGUUUUAUUGCCUAGGUUUAACAUAGAUAUGGCACAGCUAUUAAUUCCAUCUUUGGAUAAUAAAAUACUCAAUAGGCUAGCCGUCUCAUUAGGGAUGCCAGCAUUUCAUAUUGGAGGUUCAGAUUAACAAAUGGUGAGAGAAAUCAGUCUUUUUCAUUUAUCUGCUAAGCUGUGUCCACUUACCAGCCAGCUGUUUCUUGAGCCCUCUAUGGUUGUAUUUAGACAUAACCAAAUUUUUGAUAUGAACGUGAAAAAUAGGACUGAUUUGGAUGUUUCGAACUAUGCAGAUGCUUUUGAUCUUAUAGACUGGGAGCAGGUUGAAGGGACAGGCUCCAGGUCAGGUUUCCCACCACUCCUACUCCCACCUGCUGGUCUUUUUACUGUAGCUUCCUUCUUCUGGGGAAGGGCCUGGGGGCAGAAGAACAUUUGAAUGCCUAGGAGGAAAUGGAAGAUGGUAGGUGGAGCAUAGAUUUUAAUUUAUGCUGGAAGAAUUUUGAGCAAUUCUGAAAGAUGGUGAAACCCAGAUAAUGUCUAUGAGCUAGAGCCUGGAAGAAUUAGAACAUGAACUAGCUUUGUUGCAGCUUUGUGAGCUGGGGGACUUCACUAACCUUUCCAGUGUCUUGGUUUUACCAUGUGUAAAAAGAACUUAACCUCAUUUUCUUGUGUAAUUGGGAAUAUAGAUAAGAAAACAAAGAAAUACAUUAAUUUGAAUAAAGUUGAGGGUUUUGUAUUACCUGCUUUCCACCUACAGUAGCCUCCGAGUGAUGUCUGUGGGUGGAGACUCCCAACUGGUUACAAGCCACAUCCAGAAUUCAAGGCUGGGGGAACCUGGAAAAGGUCACUUCAUCCAUCCUCCUGACCUUGAGACCAGUCCUCACUCUCCACUGGCAAGUUAGGGUAAGCAGGGAGUCCAUGGUUCAGAUGAGAAUGGAAUCAUAAUUGGCAGCAGAUUCGAAGUAUGAAUCACUGGUCCACACUCCAUAUCUCAAAUUGGAAAACUGGCGACAAUGUCGAAUCAAUGAAUGAAUGACUUAUGUUCUUUCAGAUGGGAAAGUGCCUGAGAUUCCUCUGAUCAAAUCCCCCAUUUUACAGAGGAAGUUAUUUAGAGGCUCAUCAGUGAGAGUGUGGAAAUCAAACUCUUGAUUCCCAGGAUGCUGUUCUUAGUCUCCUCUCUAUACAACUCUCAGGAAAUAAACAUAUCUCAUGCUUUUCUUCUGGAAACGUUUUCCAUUUUCCUCUAAUUCGUUCCUCACCUUUUCUUCUUUCCUUUAUUUCAUAACUUGCUUCAACUUAGUUUAAUAUUUCAUUUCCUUUAUUUUGUUACCAUUGUGCACCACUGACAAAACGAGAGAAAAUUAACUUCACAUGCAGAAGGAAAGGUUGCAGUAGGAACAGGAAAAGACUUUUAAUCACAGGAGAGGUCAAAGGACAACUUUAAUAGUGGAAUAGAUACUUUCCCAUUGGUUAGUCCUUUCUGAAGAGAGGACUAAUUAGAUGAAUUCUAUUUUUCAAUAAUGUUAUAGAUAACCUUUUCAGACUUUUCAGAGUGAAUCUUUUUUUCCCAAAAUUAUUCUUCUUGCUUUUUAAAGUCUUCUUUCCUUUAUAUUAAAGAUGGCAAAGGAUCUAUUUUGCUGUGGGAUUAUUUCUUUGGUAGAUUAAACAAUUUUUUUCUUGCAAUCAAGGUAUCCAUAAAACCUAGAGUCAAAUUAUUUACUCUUAUAUAUCUCCUAAUUCCUUCCUUGUAAAAGAGCUGACUGCAAUAUCUGUCCUUGGCAUUAUGGAUCUCUGGAGCCUAGCAGCAUCCAAUAAAUAAGAGCUGAAGAAGACCACAUAUCUACAGGGUUAUGAUGUAAAUGAAAAUGUGACUAUUCUAGAAGGCUUCAAGGGGUAGAACUAGGAUUGAUGAGUGGAAUUUACAAGGGUGCAUAUUUCAAGUCAGGAUAAGGGUGAUGAUUCUUACACAGAGAAUUUCCAAAAAUGGAGUCAAUUGCUUCAUAGCUAAUGAGUUUUUUUCUGUCACUGGACAAGCUCAGGCUGGGACCACCUUCAAACAAUGUUGUGGAGGGGCUUCAGAUUUGGAUAGGUGGUUGGACAGUUAAGAUCCCUUCCAAACUUGAACUAUCACAUCUCAGUGAUCUGGUCACUUUAGCAAGUAUGUAUUUUGCCAAAACAUGAUGUAUAUAUUAACCUUAUAGUUGAUAUAUUAAGAUUUUUUUAGUGGUACAUAAGUAAACAUUUUAUUUUUUAUUUUUUGACUUUUUAAAAAAUUUAAAUCCAAGUUAGUUAAUAUAUAGGUUAAUAAUGGUUUCAAGAGUAGAAUUUAGUGAUUUAUCACUUACAUAUAACACUCAGUGCUCAUCCCCACAAGUACCCACCUCAAUGCCCAUCACACAUUUAGCCCAUCCCCCGACUCAACACCCCUCCAGCAACCCUCAGUUUGUUCUCUGUAUUCAAGAGUCUCUUAUGGUUUGCCUCCCUCUCUGUUUUUAUCUUAUUUUUCCUUCAAUAAACAUUUUAAAUUAUAAUAGUUACAUUUAAUUUUUUUAAUGUAUCAAUUCAAAAUUUCCUUUGAAAAUACAUUUACCAGGGACUUUCACUUCCAUUUAUAGCAGACCAAAUUCUAAUAUACCAAUCUUUCCACCAAAAAUACCUAGAAAAGCUGGAAAAAAUUUUUUAAAAGCCAUCUGAAGGUCUUAUUUAUGAUAUGGUUGUGUAAACAGUUCUACAGAUAAUUAUAUACUGGGGACAAAAGAAUGGACAAAAGCUGGCAGAUUCUCAAGGGGAGUUGACAUUUCAAGAAGAGAACAGGAUGGAGGGAGUUUUCUGUGUUUUAUAGUUUCUAGCUAGAGGGCAAUUCCCAACUGGUACACAUGAGGUAGCAAAAGCUUAAAGGGAGAAAUAAACAAUUCCCAGUGAUAGCUUGAGAUUUUAAUACUUUUGUUUAUGCAUUUAGUAGAACUUACACUAAUCUAAAUACCAAUAAAGGCAAAGAUGAUACUAUCAAUCACCUGGACUUAAUUAUUAUUUGUAGAACACUACACCCAAUAAAUACAGAAUAAUACACAUUAUUUUUCUUUUUUAGAGAGUGAGCAAGCACGUGAACGAGGGAGAGGGGCAGAGGGAGAGAGAGAGAAUCUUAAUCAGGCUCCACACUCAACAUGGGAGCCCAACACAGGGCUCUAUCCCACAACCCUGGGGUCAUGACCUGAGCCAAAAUCAAGAGUCAGGUGCUCAAUGGACUGAGCCACCCAGGCGUCCCCAGAAUACACAUUCUUAUCAAGUACAUGGUUUGUUUACAAAGAAAGUCUAUAUGCUGGAUAAUAAAACAAUCCUCAUUAGAUUUAAAGAACAAAACCGCACAGAGUAUAUUCUCUAACCACAGUGGAGUAAAACUCAAAAUCAAUAAUAAGAUACAUAGAAACCCUUAAGUAAUUAGAAAUUAAGCAACACUUAGCUAUUCCAUAGGUCAAAGAAGAAAUCAUAUGGGAAAUUAGAGUAUAUUCUGAUAUCUAUGGUAAAAAAAUACAACAUAUCAAACUCUGUGGGAUAUGGAUAAAACAGUGUUUAGAGGGAAAGUGACACACUUAAAUGUUAUAUUAGAAAGAAAAAAGGUCUAAAAAUCAAUGACCAAAUGUUUCAUCUUAGAAAUUUAGAAAGAGAAAGGGAAAGUAAGCCAAAAGCAAAUAGGAAGAAGGAAAUCGUAUAGGUAAGAGAAAAAAAGAAAUGAGAUAGAAAUUAAUAGAGCUAAAAUUUGCCCUUUGAAAAGAUCAACAAAAUUGGUUAUCUCCUAGCUAGACUGGAAAUGAAAGAGAAGGAAAUAACCAAUAUCAAGAAUGAAAAGGGAUUAUCACUCAGAUCCUACUGAUAUUAAAUAGAAAACAAGAGACUAUCAUGAACAAUUUCAUGCAAUGAUUUUGACAAUAUAGAUGAAACGGACAAAAUAUUUGAGCAGGGUAAAAUAGAAUGUCUAAAUAGCCUUUUAUCUAUUAGAAAAAUUGAAUUAGUUAUCAUAAAUCUUUCCACCAAUGAAACAAUAGAGAAAGAUGGUUUCACUGACAAAUUCCAUAAAAAUUUAUGGAAGGAGUAGUAUCAGAUUUAAAACACUUCACAAUUUGUUAUAUGUGUAAUGUUAAUACAAAGUUUGAUAGGGACUUUGUUUGUUUGUUUGUUUGUUUGUUUAUUAUAAGAUCAAUUAAAUAUAUUUAUUUAUUUAUUUUUAAAUAUGAAAUUUAUUGUCAAAUUGGUUUCCAUACAACACCCAGUGCUCAUCCCAACAGGUGCCCUUCUCAAUACCCAUCACCCACCCUCCCCUUC
Acinonyx jubatus (cheetah) is the source of this 7168-nucleotide long non-coding RNA. RefSeq lists it as uncharacterized. Lineage: Eukaryota; Metazoa; Chordata; Mammalia; Carnivora; Felidae. The transcript has 3 exons. The record is from RefSeq and is a predicted model, not a curated record.